This 492-nucleotide ribosomal RNA is filed under the name uncultured bacterium. RNAcentral's name for it is "partial 16S ribosomal RNA". It matches the Rfam family "Bacterial small subunit ribosomal RNA", at positions 29 to 507 of the family's 1533-position model. The record is from RNAcentral.
AGUGAACGCUGGCGGUAGGCCUAACACAUGCAAGUCGAACGGCAGCACAGUAAGAGCUUGCUCUUACGGGUGGCGAGUGGCGGACGGGUGAGGAAUACAUCGGAAUCUACUUUUUCGUGGGGGAUAACGUAGGGAAACUUACGCUAAUACCGCAUACGACCUACGGGUGAAAGCAGGGGAUCUUCGGACCUUGCGCGAUUAAAUGAGCCGAUGUCGGAUUAGCUAGUUGGCGGGGUAAAGGCCCACCAAGGCGACGAUCCGUAGCUGGUCUGAGAGGAUGAUCAGCCACACUGGAACUGAGACACGGUCCAGACUCCUACGGGAGGCAGCAGUGGGGAAUAUUGGACAAUGGGCGCAAGCCUGAUCCAGCCAUACCGCGUGGGUGAAGAAGGCCUUCGGGUUGUAAAGCCCUUUUGUUGGGAAAGAAAAGCAGCAGGUUAAUACCCCGCUGUUCUGACGGUACCCAAUGAAUAAGCACCGGCUAACUUCGUG